GACGAACGCUGGCGGCGUGCUUAACACAUGCAAGUCGAACGGAAAGGCCCUGCUUUUGUGGGGUGCUCGAGUGGCGAACGGGUGAGUAACACGUGAGUAACCUGCCCUUGACUUUGGGAUAACUUCAGGAAACUGGGGAUAAUACCGGAUAGGAGCUCCUGCUGCAUGGUGGGGGUUGGAAAGUUUCGGCGGUUGGGGAUGGACUCGCGGCUUAUCAGCUUGUUGGUGGGGUAGUGGCUUACCAAGGCUUUGGCGGGUAGCCGGCCUGAGAGGGUGACCGGCCACCUUGGGACUGAGGUACGGCCCAGUCGCCUACGGGAGGCAACAGGGGGAAACAUUGCACAGUCGGCGGACGCCUGAUGCGGAGACCCCCGGUGCGGGAAGACGGCCUUCGGGUUGGAAACCGCUUUCGCCUGUGACGAAGCGUGAGUGACGGUAACGGGUGAAGAAGCACCGGCUAACUACGUG
RNAcentral lists this ribosomal RNA (468 nucleotides) under uncultured bacterium. RNAcentral describes it as "partial 16S ribosomal RNA". It matches the Rfam family "Bacterial small subunit ribosomal RNA", at positions 28 to 507 of the family's 1533-position model. The record is from RNAcentral.